UUGGCCCAUUGAGAUAUGAUUGCUUGUAGAAUCACACCGAGUAUGUUGUCGUUGAGCUUUAGACAUUUAGGUGAUGGUGACUGUAUAUAUGUUUUGAAGAAUGCAGACUCAGAACAAUGUUUGUGGUUAAACAUGAUGAGAAGUUCAUAUUCCCCUCAUAAUUUUUUGAAAUAAUAUUUGUGAAAAUUACUCCUUCGAUGAUGUUUGACUGGGCAUCAAGUUUAAGAAAGACUUGUGACACAUUAAAAUUACCGUUGGCACUUGUCUUAGAUGUCUAUGACAUUUUUGUGGAUAUAUGAACAUAUCAUUCUUGUAAUGGGAAGUAUAAAGUGAGAGAUUCUAAAUAUAGGCAGGAAUUUAUAUGCCUUAAAAAUAAGUUUCAAAAAAUAAUAAUUUAUAUGCCUUAAAAAUAUAGGUAGGUGUUGUUCUUCUAGGAACAAACUAAAUAGAGUGGGAGUGUCAUAUGAAAUGAAUUUGAGGGAGUAAUAAAUAAAUAAUUAAAAAUAUGAAGGAUUUCUGAGUUUAGGUUUAACAUUUGGAAAUAGCGUUUGGUUUAAAUCAAUUUUUUUGUGGCUACUGGCUAGUGCCUUGCAUGUUAAUCUACUCUCCC
Molecule: long non-coding RNA, 610 nt
Filed under: Solanum tuberosum (potato)
Lineage: Eukaryota; Viridiplantae; Streptophyta; Magnoliopsida; Solanales; Solanaceae
Description: long non-coding RNA (STUB_LNC004286)
Source: RNAcentral